Molecule: transfer RNA, 64 nt
Filed under: Dryops ernesti
Lineage: Eukaryota; Metazoa; Arthropoda; Insecta; Coleoptera; Dryopidae
Description: tRNA-Asn
Source: RNAcentral
UUAAUUGAAACCAAAAAGAGGUAUAUCACUGUUAAUGAUAAAACUGAGCAGAGCUCCGAUUAAA